AACGCCUAAACGAGUAAACGAAGCCCUAAAUCCCUAAUGUUCACAGAAAUCACCCAGAUCCCAGAACUCCAGAAGCCAGAAGAGAAGAAGAAUCACUGAAAAAGCAGUUCACCACCCACAGUUCCACCGCCAUCGCCACCGCAUCCCGCAGCGACAGCAGCGACAGCGUUGAGCACGGCAACCACCACCGCGUCCUGUUUCGUCGCCGAACUCGCCCCCUGUUGCGUCGUCGCCGAGCUCGCCUCCUGUUGCGUCGUCGCCGAGCUCGCCUCCUCUUCCGUCGUCGCCGUUACUCGCCGCCGAUGGAACAAUCACAAAGUAACCCACAGCCACAAGAUAAUGCUGAGAAGUGAUUGAGCAAUCUGGAGCAGUUCUUGCAGGCGAUCACGCCCUCUGUGCCUGCUCAGUAUCUUUCUAUGGUUAGUUUUCAGUAACUAGCUGGCAAGUUUUGGCUGGAAUUUUUAAUAGUUGUGGCUGGGUUAGGGAAGAAAUCGUUUCUUUAACUAAGUUAUGUAAUUUAUUGUAGUAUUGUCAUUGUUUGUAACGGAUAGAUUUAAUGGCUGGUGUGACAAUAAGGAGUAACAUUUUGAAGGUCUGAAUAGGAUCAAUGAAUAGAAAGGAGAAGUGAGUUUCUCAUCCAUAAAGAAGUAAGCUAGUAAAUGAUUAUUUGGUAUUUGAUUAUUGACAGAUUUCCAUUGUUUACAAGUCAUAUGACAGAUUUCCUUUAUUUUAAUGUGGUUUACGGAUUUGAUUCUCCUUCA
Long non-coding RNA from Arachis ipaensis, 761 nucleotides. RefSeq lists it as uncharacterized. Lineage: Eukaryota; Viridiplantae; Streptophyta; Magnoliopsida; Fabales; Fabaceae. The record is from RefSeq and is a predicted model, not a curated record.